RNAcentral lists this ribosomal RNA (630 nucleotides) under uncultured organism. RNAcentral describes it as "bacterial SSU rRNA". It matches the Rfam family "Bacterial small subunit ribosomal RNA", at positions 836 to 1473 of the family's 1533-position model. The record is from RNAcentral.
GAAUGGGGGACGUAAGGUAACCCGUUAAGCGAACCGCCUGGGGAGUACGACCGCAAGGUUAAAACUCAAAGGAAUUGACGGGGGAGCGCACAACCGGUGGAGCAUGUGGUUUAAUUCGAUACAAAGCGAAAAACCUUACCUGGGUUUGACAUGUACCUGCACGCUACGUGAAAGCGUAGUUUCUUCGAGAGUGGUACACAGGUGAUGCAUGGCUGUCGUCAGCUCGUGUCGUGAGACGUCCUCUUAAGUGAGGUAACGAGCGCAACCCCUAUCGUCAGUUACAAGUGUCUGGCGAAACUGCCCCCGCUCUGCGGGGGAGGAAGGAGGGGACGACGUCAAGUCAGCAUGUCCCUUACAUCCAGGGCUACACACAUCCUACAAUGGAGCCGACAACAGGUAGCGACGCCGCGAGGCUGAGCUAAUCCUUAUAAACGGCCCCUCAGUUCGGAUUGCAGGCUGCAAUUUGCCUGCAUGAAGCCGGAAUCGGUAGUAAUCGCAAAUCAGCAGGUUGCGGUGAAUACGUUCUCGCUCCUUGUACACACUGCCCGUCAAGCCAGCAAAGUCGGCAGCACCCGAAGCAGGUGAUCCUAAUCCUUUUUGGAGAAGGACCCUACUACGGUGAGGUCGGCG